RNAcentral lists this ribosomal RNA (421 nucleotides) under uncultured bacterium. Its description in RNAcentral is "bacterial SSU rRNA". It matches the Rfam family "Bacterial small subunit ribosomal RNA", at positions 357 to 774 of the family's 1533-position model. The record is from RNAcentral.
AGGAAUAUUGGACAAUGGGGGGAACCCUGAUCCAGCCAUGCCGCGUGGAGGAAGACUGCCCUCUGGGUUGUAAACUCCUUUUAUAUGGGAAGAACCGUCCUCAUUGAUGAGUGACCUGACGGUACCAUAGGAAUAAGCACCGGCUAACUCCGUGCCAGCAGCCGCGGUAAUACGGAGGGUGCAAGCGUUAUCCGGAUUCACUGGGUUUAAAGGGCGCGCAGGCGGGAUAAAAAGUCAGUGGUGAAAUCCUACAGCUUAACUGUAGAACUGCCUUUGAUACUUUUAUUCUUGAGUUCGGGAGAGNGAGACGGAAUUCCAGGUGUAGUGAUGAAAUACGUAGAUAUCUGGAAGAACACCAGUUGCGAAGGCGGUCUCUUGGUCCGACACUGACGCUGAGGCGCGAAAGCGUGGGGAGCAAACA